AUUGAACGCUGGCGGCAUGCUUUACACAUGCAAGUCGAACGGUAACAGGCCUUCGGGUGCUGACGAGUGGCGAACGGGUGAGUAAUGCAUCGGAACGUACCCAGAGGUGGGGGAUAACGCAGCGAAAGCUGUGCUAAUACUGCAUGUGAUCUGAGGAUGAAAGCGGGGGACCGCGCAGCAAUGUUUGGCCUCGCGCCUUUGGAGCGGCCGAUGUCGGAUUAGCUAGUUGGUGGGGUAAAGGCCUACCAAGGCGACGAUCCGUAGCUGGUCUGAGAGGACGACCAGCCAGACUGGGACUGAGACACGGCCCAGACUCCUACGGGAGGCAGCAGUGGGGAAUUUUGGCGAAUGGGCGCAAGCCUGAUCCAGCAAUGCCGCGUGCGGGAAGAAGGCCUUCGGGUUGUAAACCGCUUUUGGCAGGAACGAAACGGUGUCCGCUAAUACCGGGCGCUAAUGACGGUACCUGCAGAAUAAGCACCGGCUAACUACGUG
This 492-nucleotide ribosomal RNA is filed under the name uncultured bacterium. RNAcentral describes it as "partial 16S ribosomal RNA". It matches the Rfam family "Bacterial small subunit ribosomal RNA", at positions 29 to 507 of the family's 1533-position model. The record is from RNAcentral.